Syzygium oleosum is the source of this 1511-nucleotide long non-coding RNA. RefSeq lists it as uncharacterized. The record is from RefSeq and is a predicted model, not a curated record. The transcript has 2 exons. Lineage: Eukaryota; Viridiplantae; Streptophyta; Magnoliopsida; Myrtales; Myrtaceae.
UCCUGCAUGAGAUGUGUGCUGCAUGAGUGAUCUGUCAUGAUACUGUUAUGUACAUAGAAUUUUGAUGCUUAAUGAAUGUUACGCACUUUCAGUCGCCGUCGGAAAAUCGUCAAACAACGAUGUGAUGGUCUUUAAGAGAAUCUGUUCUCCAGAUGAGGAAGUAAAUAGUUAGGCAGUAUGAUUAGAGACGGAUGUUAGAUGGUCGGGUAGAGAGAUAUCGUGCACUUGAGAUUGAAGAAUGUUUCUUAGUUUGCUUCAGUAAAAUUACCAGCACUAUGCCUCCCGGUUUGAUUGGCGACUCGACAAAUACUUGAGCUUUCCUGCACGCCAUAGUUCUGUGUCUGUGACUAUCGUUGUUCCAUAUGCAUUUAUGCAAGAAAUUACGUUGAAGAUGUCAGAAUUGUCACCUAAGGACCAGUCUCUCUCCAUCUUUUGAGCAUUCAUAGAAGCUGCAGCCUCUUGUGAAAGGUAAAUUUGGGAAGCGAAGCAGAGUGAGUACCUAGGUGCCAAUUUACCCACGCCGUUUCCUCGUCAUCGCUGAUGUGUUUGGGGUUGAAUUUGACAUUCUUGCCCAUGCUGGAAGUGAGUUGUGCAAAGAAGAGCAAGACCUCCUGCGUUAACUUUGGCUUAGGCCACUCAAGAAAGGAGCAUUAGACAAGAAUAGCGAUAGCAAGACGGGGAUCCUCUACUCCGUACAGCGCAUGCUGCCUUCAGUGUCUCGAUAAAUCGCAAUCAUUGAUUUAUGGAGAUGAGGCUGUUAUCAACAAUUGUGUGCAAUUUGUCGAGACACCGGAGGGAGCACAGUGUGGAGCAGCGGAUCCUGCCACUAACUAGUACACACGAAACCUUUUUCCCCUUGAAUGGUGUGGGAAAGGAGAAGUCCUCAAAGCAGCAAUCUUCCGAGAUGAUCUCAUCCAGCGCCUUGAAGUUUUUCUCAUUGAUGCAUUCAUACAGUUGCAUUGCUCUCUCGCCCGGAGAGCUUGAUCUCGGCAUGGGGUGAGUUUCACUUGUCGAAGUAAAUACUUGGGCGAGCUUGCGGUGAUUAUGAAUUUGGAUGCCUUGCGUCUUGAUCUCCUUUCGAGCAAAUGGGGAUCUCCUCUUGAAGAUUGAAGUGUUGAGGGCAAUGCCGCCGUCUCUGACGCUGGAGGUUGUGCGUGAACGGCACGACAAGUGGAGACGAGAGAAGGUGAUGGUGUGAGCCAUUUUGCCUCCAGGGCCAAGAUGGGUCGAGUUAUUACUCGAACGGCGAGAUUAAAAACAAAGGAAUGACUUGAAGUAUAUGAGAAAUGAAUUGAGUGACUGAAUGGAGCAAAGAAUAAAGCUGACUCUUGCUUUGUACUCACAUAUGCUUGAUCAUACGCGUCCAUGUUCCUUCCCUGGUAUGAAAUCAAGGAAUCUGAACAUGGAAGGACCGAGUCCACGCAGAACCGGCAAGUAGACGUUAGUCAUGGCCAUCCAGGAGAUGUAUGAACAUCUGACAGAAAUACAACAGCCUUCUUGCCUACGCUUCA